This 1461-nucleotide ribosomal RNA is filed under the name Salmonella enterica subsp. enterica serovar Derby. RNAcentral describes it as "partial 23S ribosomal RNA". It matches the Rfam family "Bacterial large subunit ribosomal RNA", at positions 528 to 1889 of the family's 2925-position model. Lineage: Bacteria; Pseudomonadati; Pseudomonadota; Gammaproteobacteria; Enterobacterales; Enterobacteriaceae. The record is from RNAcentral.
GGCGAGGGGAGUGAAAAAGAACCUGAAACCGUGUACGUACAAGCAGUGGGAGCACAGGUUUACCUGUGUGACUGCGUACCUUUUGUAUAAUGGGUCAGCGACUUAUAUUCUGUAGCAAGGUUAACCGUAUAGGGGAGCCGGAGGGAAACCGAGUCUUAAUUGGGCGUUAAGUUGCAGGGUAUAGACCCGAAACCCGGUGAUCUAGCCAUGGGCAGGUUGAAGGUUGGGUAACACUAACUGGAGGACCGAACCGACUAAUGUUGAAAAAUUAGCGGAUGACCUGUGGCUGGGGGUGAAAGGCCAAUCAAACCGGGAGAUAGCUGGUUCUCCCCGAAAGCUAUUUAGGUAGCGCCUCGUGAAUUCAUCUCCGGGGGUAGAGCACUGUUUCGGCUAGGGGGCCAUCCCGGCUUACCAACCCGAUGCAAACUGCGAAUACCGGAGAAUGUUAUCACGGGAGACACACGGCGGGUGCUAACGUCCGUCGUGAAGAGGGAAACAACCCAGACCGCCAGCUAAGGUCCCAAAGUCAUGGUUAAGUGGGAAACGAUGUGGGAAGGCCCAGACAGCCAGGAUGUUGGCUUAGAAGCAGCCAUCAUUUAAAGAAAGCGUAAUAGCUCACUGGUCGAGUCGGCCUGCGCGGAAGAUGUAACGGGGCUAAACCAUGCACCGAAGCUGCGGCAGCGAACGUAUCACUUAAAGCGAUUCAGCGGGUUACGAUUGACGGAGCGAAGCGACGUCAAAGCGUAUACAAAGUCGAGUCGGUUUAAGGAUACGUUCGUUGGGUAGGGGAGCGUUCUGUAAGCCUGUGAAGGUGGCCUGUGAGGGUUGCUGGAGGUAUCAGAAGUGCGAAUGCUGACAUAAGUAACGAUAAAGCGGGUGAAAAGCCCGCUCGCCGGAAGACCAAGGGUUCCUGUCCAACGUUAAUCGGGGCAGGGUGAGUCGACCCCUAAGGCGAGGCCGAAAGGCGUAGUCGAUGGGAAACGGGUUAAUAUUCCCGUACUUGGUGUUACUGCGAAGGGGGGACGGAGAAGGCUAUGUUGGCCGGGCGACGGUUGUCCCGGUUUAAGCGUGUAGGUGUGUGUUCCAGGUAAAUCCGGUUCACUUUAACACUGAGGCGUGAUGACGAGGCACUACGGUGCUGAAGCAACAAAUGCCCUGCUUCCAGGAAAAGCCUCUAAGCAUCAGGUAACAUCAAAUCGUACCCCAAACCGACACAGGUGGUCAGGUAGAGAAUACCAAGGCGCUUGAGAGAACUCGGGUGAAGGAACUAGGCAAAAUGGUGCCGUAACUUCGGGAGAAGGCACGCUGACACGUAGGUGAAGUGAUUUACUCAUGGAGCUGAAGUCAGUCGAAGAUACCAGCUGGCUGCAACUGUUUAUUAAAAACACAGCACUGUGCAAACACGAAAGUGGACGUAUACGGUGUGACGCCUGCCCGGUGCCGGAAGGUUAAUUGAUGGGG